GAUGAACGCUAGCUACAGGCUAAACACAUGCAAGUCGCGGGGCAGCAUGUCGGUUGCUUGCAACCGAUGAUGGCGACCGGCGCACGGGUGAGUAACGCGUAUCCAACCUGCCCUUCACCACGGAAUAAUCCAGUGAAAAUUGGUCUAAUACCGUAUGAGGUCAUACGAUGGCAUCAGAAUAUGACGAAAGGUUUGGCGGUGAAGGAUGGGGAUGCGUCUGAUUAGCUUGUUGGUGAGGUAACGGCUCACCAAGGCGACGAUCAGUAGGGGUUCUGAGAGGAAGGUCCCCCACAUGGAACUGAGACACGGUCCAAACUCCUACGGGAGGCAGCAGUGAGGAAUAUUGGUCAAUGGGCGAGAGCCUGAACCAGCCAAGUAGCGUGCAGGAAGACGGCCCUAUGGGUUGUAGACUGCUUUUAUAUGGGGAUAAAGUGAGCUACGUGUAGUUUAUUGCAGGUACCAUAUGAAUAAGGACCGGCUAAUUCCGUGCCAGCCGCCGCAGUAA
RNAcentral lists this ribosomal RNA (505 nucleotides) under uncultured bacterium. RNAcentral describes it as "partial 16S ribosomal RNA". It matches the Rfam family "Bacterial small subunit ribosomal RNA", at positions 28 to 523 of the family's 1533-position model. The record is from RNAcentral.